RNAcentral lists this ribosomal RNA (403 nucleotides) under Bacteroidota bacterium. Its description in RNAcentral is "Bacteroidetes bacterium partial 16S ribosomal RNA". It matches the Rfam family "Bacterial small subunit ribosomal RNA", at positions 355 to 776 of the family's 1533-position model. Lineage: Bacteria; Pseudomonadati; Bacteroidota. The record is from RNAcentral. RNAcentral also lists the same sequence under 1 other name.
UGGGGAAUAUUGCACAAUGGAGGGAACUCUGAUGCAGCGACGCCGCGUGAACGAAGAAGGCUUUCGAGUCGUAAAGUUCUUUUAUAUGGGAAGAUAAUGACGGUACCAUAAGAAAAAGCCCCGGCUAACUACGUGCCAGCAGCCGCGGUAAUACGUAGGGGGCUAGCGUUGUCCGGAAUCACUGGGCGUAAAGGGUUCGCAGGCGGAAAUGCAAGUCAGGUGUAAAAGGCGAAGGCUCAACCUUCGUAAGCAUCGGAAACUGUCAAGCUUGAGUGAAGGAGAGGCAAGUGGAAUUCCUAGUGUAGCGGUGGAAUGCGUAGAUAUUAGGAGGAAUACCGGUGGCGAAGGCGACUUGCUGGACUUCAACUGACGCUGAGGAACGAAAGCGUGGGUAGCAAACAGG